RNAcentral lists this transfer RNA (74 nucleotides) under Allochromatium warmingii. It matches the Rfam family "tRNA". From Rfam's summary of the family: Transfer RNA (tRNA) molecules are approximately 80 nucleotides in length. Lineage: Bacteria; Pseudomonadati; Pseudomonadota; Gammaproteobacteria; Chromatiales; Chromatiaceae. The record is from Rfam by way of RNAcentral. RNAcentral also lists the same sequence under 1 other name.
GCCCUCGUAGCUCAGUUGGAUAGAGCAAUCGCCUCCUAAGCGAUAGGUCGCAGGUUCAAAUCCUGCCGUGGGCA